ACAGUUCAAAUAAAGUAGGCUUCAUCUGAUUGGCGAGUUACAUUACACAUUCACAGCCAUCGUGCGAACCCAAGCAACUGAUUAACGUAAGAUGCGACUUGUACUCAUCUCCUUGCUGGUCGUGUUGGUGUCUGGGACUGUGAGAGCAGAGAACGACGUGGACAACAGCGAGUCUGUAGAGGUGGAUCGUCGUCAAGGACUGACCCUUUUCGCACCCUCGUGUUACAUCUAUUGUUUAAAUUAUAACCCUGACGAUCCUUUGUGUAAACACGGGUGUUAUUUUUAAAGAAAAUGCGGCGCGUGAGAGUUAACCUGAAAUCGUAGAAUAUAAUCUUGAGUCUAAAGACAGACCGACUGCUUUUGUAAACACAACAAUAAUAAAUCAAUGAAUUUUUGAAACCUG
Molecule: long non-coding RNA, 403 nt
Organism: Physella acuta
Lineage: Eukaryota; Metazoa; Mollusca; Gastropoda; Physidae
Source: RefSeq, a predicted model, not a curated record